GUCUUCCUCAGAACUGGCUGCCUGGCUGUGCGUUAACGCUGCUGACAUGAUCGGUAGGCUGAGGACCACUCACCUUCUCCAAACAUUAUUUGUGGGGGAUGUGAGGGCUUCAUAAAACAAAUUGAACACAUGGGCUAAGAGGGCUAAUUCCCCUUACUGCGUGCUUCAACCUGGCCCCUGAUGUGUCAGAGCAGGAACCCGAACUGUCAGAGAGAGGCGGAUGCACACCAGAGAGAAGUCCACCGGCAACAAUUUCACUGGGACCGAGAAAAGAAAGAGGAGGGUUACAAGUAGGCCUGGGCAGCAGAGACCUCUCAAGACCCAGGGGAAACACAGCUCGGCUGACACAAAGGUGCGGACCAAGAUCCAGCUCUCAGUAGCCCUGUAUAGUGUGGGCUCUACGGCCCAAGGGUCCCCCAUGUUGGGUAAGGACUUUGGUAGUUGGGGCCUCUUUCCGGCUGUACAUGACCCAGCAGCCACAGAUUCCCGGGCCUCUUAACAUCUGUUUCUGCUCCUGUAAAAUGGGACUUCAAGGGCCUUCCUAAGGAGAGCGCACACAGCUGUAACCCCAGCACUCAUUAGGUCAACACAGGAGGACGGCCACACGUUUGAGGCGGGCCUGGGGUGCAGACAGAAUGUUGUCUCAAGAAACAAAACAAGGGGCUGGAGAGGUGGCUCAGCUCUCUUGCAGAGAGCUCUCUUGCCUGAGUUUGAAUCCCAGCAUCCACGGGGCUGCUUACAGCCAUGUGUAACUCCAGUUCUGGAGUCUCCCUCGCCCUCUUCUGGCUUCUCUGGGUACUGUAUGAACGUGGUGCACAGGCACACAUAGGCAAGUCACCCACACACGUAAAACAAAACACAAACAAGAUAAAAACCCAACGGCCUUUGUUGCUUAACUCAGAGUUAGGCUCAAACAAGACAACAUACGGAAAAGUCUUUCAUGAGCUGCAAACGACAGUAUGUCAAGUAAAAAUAAAUGCUAUCAUAGGAGGGAACUCUAGGGACCUCGGGCCUGUCUUAAAUUAUCUUAAGCAGAGAGUAACACCCAACACUAUGUGACAUCCCCUGAGCACUUAACAGCACCAGUACAAUUCGCUGGCACCUCUGUUAGCCUCUAACAGACCCAGAAACUAUUCGGAUAACGGUCCCUUGGGCAUCAGUGUGGCCAACAGACUGACACAUGCCCAGACAUCCAUUCCUCACAACACCUAAGACAAUGGCUGGGCUCCCCCGUAUUUCAGCUACUCCUAAUUGUGGGAAACGUGACCCUGACUCAAGGCUGGCAACAGUGUUAACCACGAGCCUGCAGAGAAAACCAACUGUCGUUUUAUACCUAAAUUUGUAUCAAAAAAUGAUCUGGGUCUGGUGAUUAGGGUCUGUAAUUCCCGGAGGCUUCAGGGGAGGUAAGGAAGAUCACAGGUUUGAAGCCAUCCUGAACUGGAGCGAGUUCGAGGUUAGCCUAGACAACUUAGGGAGCCCCUGCUUCAAAGUCGUUUUCAAAAGCCAGCUAGCGAGUGUAGCUCAGUGGUAACAUGCUUGUCUAACGUAUGUGAGAACCCUAACUAUAACCCCUUAUGCCAGAGGGGGAGAGUUUCAUGAAAAUAAAGUGCUUCUC
This 1615-nucleotide long non-coding RNA is filed under the name Mus pahari (shrew mouse). RNAcentral describes it as "predicted gene, 26724 (MGP_PahariEiJ_G0005223.1)". The record is from RNAcentral. Lineage: Eukaryota; Metazoa; Chordata; Mammalia; Rodentia; Muridae.